Topomyia yanbarensis is the source of this 669-nucleotide long non-coding RNA. RefSeq lists it as uncharacterized. The record is from RefSeq and is a predicted model, not a curated record. Lineage: Eukaryota; Metazoa; Arthropoda; Insecta; Diptera; Culicidae. The transcript is spliced from 3 exons.
CGCGAAAUAUUAAAAUUGUUAAAACUUAAUAUUGUUUUUGAUUAGUAUUAAAUUAUAGUCUAUGUUAAGUAUGCUGAAAUGAAUCGUGGCGAUUUAAACCGUUGUAACAGCAUAGCAAAAAGGAUUUUACCAAAUAAUGCUUCGCCGGUACUUUUCGAAUGCUUACCGGAAAAAUUGUAUUAAAUACAUGGCUAAGAGGAAAAAGUGCAUCGAAACUAACACGCAAUAAUGAAACGAAUACACUUUUUUUUGACCUGAUGCUAACCUAACUGCAAGAGAAUGCCUCAAGUGUUAUCGACACUACGUGUACCGUCCAUUACAAGAAAUCUCGUAAUUCUCUUAGGUACGACGUGCUGAUCUGCCUGGUGUCCACUCAUGUAGCCUUGGUGUGAUGACCCUGUUCAGCAAAGAAGUGUAGAACUGACAUUUGGUAUGGUCAAAUACAGGCGUAUUGAUUGUCACUCGAAUGAUCACUUCGAAAUUAUUGUCCAUAAUGAAUGCCUUCGUUGAUUCCCAGCGAUAGUCUAUCUUUUUUGGAAAUGGAAAAGGACGAUGAGGAACAGAAGUCGCAAAUUAUACGUACUAUGGGAAGUAAACAAACGAUCGUCAAACAGUUGGAUCAUUCUUCUAGUUAAUGAAGUUAAUUAAAAGUGAAUAUGCAAAUAAAUU